This is a long non-coding RNA of Clarias gariepinus (North African catfish), 275 nucleotides long. RefSeq lists it as uncharacterized. The transcript has 2 exons. The record is from RefSeq and is a predicted model, not a curated record. NCBI's taxonomy places the organism in Eukaryota, Metazoa, Chordata, Actinopteri, Siluriformes, Clariidae.
UAUCAUUCUCAGUUUGCUAUUUAUUAUGUGUUUACAGCACCCUCUGUGGUUGCUCCGAAUAAUGCACUUUAGAAACCGCUUUAUUUUGAAAGAGGAAAAAACUUUAUUGAACAGGAAGUAGGCUCAGUUAAGAAAAGCGAGUAAGCAAAAAGAAGGGAAACAUAUCAGCACGCACUUUAUGGUGUCCUGUUGGAGAAAAUACUGUCUACAUCUUCUGUUUAUGGUUGUAUCGCCGUUUUACCCUUUUGAAUGUCAGUAAACCUGUUGACAACGUU